Molecule: long non-coding RNA, 5073 nt
Filed under: Homo sapiens (human)
Lineage: Eukaryota; Metazoa; Chordata; Mammalia; Primates; Hominidae
Source: RNAcentral
CUCAGGAGGCUGCGACAGGGGAAUCACUUGAUCCUGGGAGGCGGAGGUUGCAGUGAGCCAAGAUUACACCAUUGUAUUCCAGCCUGGGCAACAAGAGCAAAACCCAAUCUGAAAAAAAAAAAAAAAAAAAAAAAAAGACUCCAGCUGCAGUAGGCUGCAUGGAGGUGGCCCGGAGCAAAUGUGAGAGUAUCAGUUAGGAGGACACUAACUAAGAAGCCAGAUAAUAACAGCUGGGACUUGGGUGAUUGAGGAGAUGGACAGGAAAGAGAUCCAGGAGGCAAAAUUCACAGAUCUGGGAGCUUGGAUAUGGCAGGUAAGGGACAGGAUGUUGUCAAGGAUGACCUCCAGCUUUCUAGCUUACACAACAAUGUCCAAAGGGAUGCAGGACUAAGUUUGGCCUGGCUGGGUCCCAUUCUCACCCCUAUGGACAGGAUCAAGUACUGUGGCUCAUUAAAAUUACUGGAUUCAUGUAGAGUUUGGGAGAGAUUUUCUGAAGAGAAGUGGUACUGUUACCAGGAAAAGAGGGAUGGGAAAACCACAGCCACUGCAGGGAAAACAUAGAGUGGCCAGUCUCUGGCCACCCUGAGAUACUUAGCAGUAAGUGCUACAUUUAUAUUUGCCAUUAAACAUCAGUUUGCAUAUGCCACAGGGCAAGACACCAAAGGUCACGUUCCAGCUGCUUCAGGAGCCCCCUGGGGGAGGUUUCCUGCUGUCAAAUUCACUGUCAUAAGCACUCGCCAGUAGGGGCACUGUUACUCUUCGCAGCCACUUCCCUGGCCCCUGAGGUGGCCAACCAGGUGGCAUCUUGGCCCCAGCUUGAGUUGGAGGUUAAAAGGACAGAGAGAUUAGUUCCAACAGUUUCAGCCAGCCUUGGAAGUGGCAGAAUGAGCUACAGUCAUACUGCACAGGAACAUUUAGUCCUAGUUUUGCAUAAAGACCCACAAUGCACUCAUGCACUCUUUGGCAUUCUUUAAAUCUUGCCCCAUUGUGACGUGGAGACAUGGAUCUUAAGAAGAAAAAAUGGUCUUUGUUCAUCUUAGGUAUUUCUUUCAGUGGUACCUAGAGGCCAUUGGCAAAUAUGUUCAAAUUAUAAACCAAAAUGAUAAGCCAGGGAGGAAGUUAAAAGAAUAAGAACUGGUCUUUCAAGGUCCCCUAAGGUAUUCAGCCAAACCGGUUGUCUUAAUGACAAAGUAAAAGAAGCCAAACUGCCCAGGAUGUUUGUCUAAGAAAAUGAUAGGCCACUUUUCACAUAUCGAGUGACGGAUGCAGACUUGCGAGGGUUUGCUAAGUUCUUGUAAAGGGGCAGGGGUGGCUGCAAGUUUCGUCAUGCAGAGGAUGGAUGCAAAGUCAAAUGCUCUAUCUAGCAGGUCAAUUUGUUUUCUUGCUUGUUUGUUUUUUUUUUCCAAAAUACUGUUUAAAAAAAAAAUCUGUUGGAAAUAGUUUGAGCAGUCAAGAAAAACAAAAGCAAACUCAGGGAAAGACAAUAUACUGUCUACACGAUACCAAAACAGGAAAGUCCUGGGUAUCUGUCACAGAGGUGUAGAAUGGCAAAUGGAGCUGGCGUCAAUCUCCUCCAAAAUGGUGGAAAUCCUGGGCUUUUUACUUAAUACUUUAGUACUAAGUAAAUCGAUGGCACCUCCAAGUUGGUGGUUUCUGUACUUCCUGCAGAACGGGUCUCUGGGCCUGAGCCCACCAUCAGGGUUGGCAGCCACCUCCGGGGCGGUGCUAUCUUUGCUAUGGUAUCUCUGCUUAGUAAUAAGAACUAAGGUGUAUGGGAGCUCACUGUGGGCCAGGUGCUCCACGAGCUUUGCAUAAUAGUUAUUUCCAUCAAAUCUUCACAACAACCUGUGAGGUAGCCCUAUAUCUAUCCCAUUUUUUUUUUUUUUAAGAUGGAGUCUCACUCUCUCACCAGGCUGGAAUGCAGGGGCGCAAUCUUGGUUCACUACAACCUCCUCCUCCCGGGUUCAAGCGGUUCUCCUGCCUCCCAAGUAGCUGGGACUACAGGCACGUACCACCAUGCCCAGCUAAUUUUUGUAUUUUUAGUAGGGACGGUAUUUCACCAUUUUGGCCAGGAUGGUCUCGAUCUCUUGACCUCGUGAUCCACCCGCUUCAGCCUCCCAAAGUGCUGGGAUUACUGGCAUGAGCCACUGUGCCUGGCUUUUUUUUUUUUUUUUUUAAUUUUGUUUAAAUAGAGAUGGGAUCUCCUUAUGUUGCCCAGGCUGGCCUCAAACUCCUGAGCUCAAGCCAUCACCCCCCUCUCGGUCUCCCAAAGCACUGGGAUUACAGGCAUGAGCCACUGCACCCAGCCUCAUCCCCAUUUUAACACAAGUACACUGAGCCCUAGCAAAGAGCUAUAACUUACUGAAAACCCCACAGCUGAUAAAUGGUGGCACUGGGAUUUGAACCUGAGCAGUCUGUUUCCAGAGUCUGCCGGCUGAGCUACUGUGCGAAAACAGUGCCUUCCAAACAUUCUUUUCUACCUUAUUGCUCCUUGAAUUCUGGCCCUGGCUCCAGUUUGGGGCCAAGCAGAAGAUAGGGUUGGUGGGCAUGAUGGUAACAGGGUCUAUCUGAAAGUGAGUAUUUGGGGCUGGGCGCAAGGGCUGACAUCUGUAAUCUCAGCAUUUUUGGGAGGCUGAGGUGAAAGGAUCACUUGAGGCCAGAAGUUCAAGACCAGACUGGGCAACACAGCAAGAUGCCAUCUUUAAAAAAUAAAAAAAGUAGCCAGGCAUGGUGGCAUGUACCUGUAGUGUCAGCUACUUGGGAGGCUGAGGUGGGAGGAUCUCUGGAGCCUGGGAGUUCAAGUGUGCAGUAGGCCACGAUUGCACCACUGCACUCAUGGAAAGAAGGAAAGAGAGAAAGAGGACAGGUGUGGUGGCUCACGCCUGUAAUCCUAGCAGUUUGGGAGGCUGAGGGGGGCAGAUCACAUGAGGUCAGGAGAUCGAGACCAGCCUGGCCAAUAUGGUGAAACCCCAUCUUUACUAAGAAUACAAAUUAGCUGAGCUUGGUGGCACAUGCCUGUAGUCCCAGCUUCUUGGGAUGCAUGAGUCCCAGCUUUUUGAGGCACAAGAAUUGCUUGAACCCGGGAGGUGGAGGUUGCAGUGAGCAGAGAUCGUGAUGCUCAGAGAGUGCACUCCACUCCAGCCUGGGUGACACAACAAGACUCUGUCUCAAGAAAAAGGAAAAAGAAAGAGUGCUCACGUUGGCAGCAUAGGUACUAAAAUUGGAAUGAUACAGAGAUUAGCAUGGCUCCUGUGCAAGGAUGACACAAAUUCCAAAGCAUGAGAGAGAGAGAGAGAGAGAGAGAAAGAGAAAAGAAAAGAAAGAAAGAAAGGAAAAGAAAAGAAAAGAAAGAAAGAAAAGAAAGGAAAGAAAGAAAGGAAAAGAAAAGAAAAAAGAAAGAAAAAAAGAAAAGAGAAUGAGAGAGAGAGAGAAAGAAAAAGAGGGGGUUGAGGUAGGGGUUUUACAUUUGUCCUUCAACUAUGGGCUAACCAUAGUGACUUCCCUGCUGUCCACAUAAGGGUGAUUGGUUGUUGUGCCCAGUGUUGGCUGCUGCUGCCAACAAUUUCCCAGUAUGCUGAGAGGACACACAGGCUGCUACCAAGUAAGACCAGAGGGGCAGAGACUCUUAUAACCCACCCAAUAGCUAGCAUCUCUUUUUUUUCCUUAGAAACAGAACAUUAAGGCCAGGAGCGGUGGCUCACACCUAUAAUCCCAGAACUUUGGGAAGCCGAGAUGGGUGGAUCACCUGAGAUCAGGAGUUCGAGAUCAGCCUGACCAACAUGGUGAAACCCCAUCUUUACUAAAAAUACAAAAUUAUCAGGGUGUGGUGGUGAAUGACUGGUAAUCCCAGCUACUUGGGAGGCUUAGGCAGGAGAAUUGCUUGAACCCAGGAGGUGGAAGUUGCAGUGAGCUGAGAUCAUGCCACUGCACUCCAGCCUGGGGAGACAAGAGCAAAACUCCAAGCUCCAUCUCAAAAAAAAAAAAAAAAAAAAAAAAAAAACAUUAAUUUUAUUUAGCUGGGCAAUGCCCCCCAACUAAAACACUAGAUUUCCCUGUCUCCUUUGCACGCAGGCAUGUGACUAAGCUCUAAACAAUGAGACAUUAGCAGAAGUGUUCUGAAAGACUUCGGGGAUUAAAGGGACCUAACUCAACAGGAGGUGAAUUCUUUUGCUCCCCUCCUCCUUCCCGAUGGCCGAAAUGAAACGUGAUGGCUAACAUGCAACAUGACGGCUGACACUCAAAUAGCUAGAUUGGACAGUAGAGUCUACUCUGUAGGUGAGCAGUGCUUCCAAAGCUUUAAAGUGCAUGUGAAUCCCCUAGGGAUCUUGUUAACACUGCAGACUGAUUCAGUAGGUGUUGGAUAUGUUUCCUAUAUUCCCUAGUUCUGUUCAUAAAGGCAGCCUAGGUUCAGUGACUGCCCUAACGUAUAGGAGCACACCUGGCACCCAGAUAUUGGCUUCUAAAUGCCACACUGCACUAAAAGAAACCAGGGCUUCUUGGAAAAAUGGCUAAUUGCAAAGCAGGAGCAGGGAAGAUAUAAGAAAAGACUGGUACAUCUUGUGCCAUAAAGCCAGGAAGUAGGCCGGGCGCAGUGGCUCAUGCCUGUAAUCCCAACACUUUGGGAGGUUGAAGUGGGCAGAUCGCAAGGUCAGGAGUUCGAGACCAGCAUAGCCAACAAGGUGAAACCCCGUCUCUACUAAAGCUACAAAAAUUAGCCGGGCGUGGUGGCAGGCACCUGUAAUCCCAGCUGUUCAGGAGGCUGAGACAGGAGAAUUGCUUGAACCCGGGUGGCAGAGGUUGCAGUGAGCUGAGAUUGCGCAUCAGCCUGGGCAACAGAGUGAGACUGCGUCUCAAAAAAAAAAAAAAAAAAAAGCCAGGAAGUACUAAAAAAAUAAUGGGGAUGGGCCAGGCGCGGUGGCUCUGGCCUGUAAUCCCAGCACUUUGGGAGGGCAAGGCAGGCAGAUCAUGAGGUCAGGAGUUUGAGACCAGCCUGGCCAAUAUGGUGAAACCCUGUCUCUACUAAAAAUAUUAAAAAUUAGCUGGGUGUGGUGGCGCACACCUGUAGUCCCAGCU